Molecule: ribosomal RNA, 89 nt
Filed under: Oscillatoriaceae cyanobacterium M7585_C2015_266
Lineage: Bacteria; Bacillati; Cyanobacteriota; Cyanophyceae; Oscillatoriales; Oscillatoriaceae
Also listed under: 3 other names
Source: RNAcentral
CCUACUCCAUCCCGAACUAGGAGGUGAAACGCUGCAGCGGCGAAGAUACUUGGUGGGUGACUGCCUGGGAAAAUAGCUCGGUGCCAGGG